This 485-nucleotide ribosomal RNA is filed under the name uncultured bacterium. RNAcentral describes it as "partial 16S ribosomal RNA". It matches the Rfam family "Bacterial small subunit ribosomal RNA", at positions 29 to 507 of the family's 1533-position model. The record is from RNAcentral.
AUUGAACGCUGGCGGCAUGCCUUACACAUGCAAGUCGAACGGCAGCACGGGUGCUUGCACCUGGUGGCGAGUGGCGAACGGGUGAGUAAUACAUCGGAACGUACCUUAUCGUGGGGGAUAACGCAGCGAAAGUUGCGCUAAUACCGCAUACGCCCUGAGGGGGAAAGCGGGGGACCGUAAGGCCUCGCGCGAUUAGAGCGGCCGAUGUCUGAUUAGCUUGUUGGUGAGGUAAAAGCUCACCAAGGCGAUGAUCAGUAGCUGGUCUGAGAGGACGAUCAGCCACACUGGGACUGAGACACGGCCCAGACUCCGACGGGAGGCAGCAGGGGGGAAUUUUGGACAAGGGGGGCAACCCUGAGCCAGCAAUGCCGCGUGAGUGAAGAAGGCCUUCGGGUUGUAAAGCGCUUUUGUCAGGGAAGAAACAGCAGCUCUAACACAGUCUGCGAAUGACGGUACCUGAAGAAUAAGCACCGGCUAACUACGUG